GGGGUUGACUGGAUUUGACGGCAAGCCGAGAUGGUACGUAAGCACGCGGAGGCUCGUUGGCUACCUCCUUAAACUGAGUGAACACAAAUUUAAUUGGCAACUAUGAGUAUGCUCUCGCUGCCUAAUCGAAGUAUAGUAGAUUACUGGCUUUAUUCCGUCACAAGGUGACAGAACGAGACGUCGCUCCGAGGAUGUUGUUCCGAAUCCGAAGAAUCAGCGGCGCAGGUUAAAUCGGAAAUAGUCUGUGUAGGCUCCGAUGCUCAGAUGAAAUUUAGGAGAUAAGGCAGUGGUUGGUGGUCCAGGUCUUGCCACUGUUCGAAAACCGAAGUCUGGAAUAAGCGUGUAGAAAGCGUAUGGUUUCCUUGUGCGGACGAGGGUUCGACUCCCUCCAGCUCCACU
RNAcentral lists this transfer-messenger RNA (399 nucleotides) under uncultured Prevotella sp. It matches the Rfam family "transfer-messenger RNA". Rfam says of the family: Bacterial tmRNA, also known as 10Sa RNA or SsrA, is named for its dual tRNA and mRNA-like properties. Lineage: Bacteria; Pseudomonadati; Bacteroidota; Bacteroidia; Bacteroidales; Prevotellaceae. The record is from RNAcentral.